UACGUAGGUCCCGAGCGUUGUCCGGAUUUAUUGGGCGUAAAGCGAGCGCAGGUGGUCUAUUAAGUCUGGUGUAAAAGGCAGUGGCUCAACCAUUGUAUGCAUUGGAAACUGGUAGACUUGAGUGCAGAAGAGGAGAGUGGAACUCCAUGUGUAGCGGUGAAAUGCGUAGAUAUAUGGAAGAACACCAGUGGCGAAAGCGGCUCUCUGGUCUGUAACUGACGCUGAGGUUCGAAAGCGUGGGUAGCAAACAGG
RNAcentral lists this ribosomal RNA (252 nucleotides) under uncultured bacterium. Its description in RNAcentral is "partial 16S ribosomal RNA". It matches the Rfam family "Bacterial small subunit ribosomal RNA", at positions 524 to 776 of the family's 1533-position model. The record is from RNAcentral.